GACGAACGCUGGCGGCGUGCUUAACACAUGCAAGUCGAACGGAAAGGCCCUGCUUUUGUGGGGUGCUCGAGUGGCGAACGGGUGAGUAACACGUGAGUAACCUGCCCUUGACUUUGGGAUAACUUCAGGAAACUGGGGCUAAUACCGGAUAGGAGCUCCUGCUGCAUGGUGGGGGUUGGAAAGUUUCGGCGGUUGGGGAUGGACUCGCGGGUUAUCAGCUUGUUGGUGGGGUAGGGGCUUACCAAGGCUUUGACGGGUAGCCGGCCUGAGAGGGUGACCGGCCACAUUGGGACUGAGAUACGGACCAGACGCCUACGGGAGGCAGCAGUGGGGAAUAUUGCACAAUGGGCGGAAGCCUGAGGCAGCAACGCCGCGUGCGGGAUGACGGCCUUCGGGUUAUAAACCGCUUUCGCCUGUGACGAAGCGUGAGUGACGGUAAUGGGUAAAGAAGCACCGGCUAACUACGUG
Molecule: ribosomal RNA, 468 nt
Filed under: uncultured bacterium
Lineage: Bacteria
Description: partial 16S ribosomal RNA
Rfam family: Bacterial small subunit ribosomal RNA
Source: RNAcentral